This 486-nucleotide ribosomal RNA is filed under the name Triticum aestivum (bread wheat). RNAcentral describes it as "partial small subunit ribosomal RNA". The record is from RNAcentral. Lineage: Eukaryota; Viridiplantae; Streptophyta; Magnoliopsida; Poales; Poaceae.
UCACCAAAUUUUUUCCCGCAGAUCUUCGUGAAGACCCUGACGGGCAAGACCAUCACGCUGGAGGUGGAGAGCAGCGACACCAUCGACAACGUCAAGGCUAAGAUCCAGAACAAGGAGGGCAUCCCGCCGGACCAGCAGCGGCUCAUCUUCGCCGGGAAGCAGCUCGAGGACGGCCGCACGCUCGCCGACUACAACGUGCAGAAGGAGUCGAAGGAGUCGACGCUGCACCUGGUGCUCCGCCUCCGCGGCGGCACCACCAUCAAGGUCAAGACGCUCACCGGCAAGGAGAUUGAGAUCGACAUCGACCCCACCGACACGGUGGACCGCAUCAAGGAGCGCGUCGAGGAGAAGGAGGGCAUCCCGCUCGUGCAGCAGAGGCUCAUCUUCGCCGGCAAGCAGCUCGCCGACGACAAGACUGCCAAGGAUUACAACAUCAAGGGUGGCGACGUGCUGCACCUCGUUCUCGCCCUCAGGGGCGGACACUAA